Molecule: ribosomal RNA, 253 nt
Filed under: uncultured bacterium
Lineage: Bacteria
Description: partial 16S ribosomal RNA
Rfam family: Bacterial small subunit ribosomal RNA
Source: RNAcentral
UACGAAGGGGGCGAGCGUUGUUCGGAUUUACUGGGCGUAAAGGGCGCGCAGGCGGCUCUUUUAGUCAGGCGUGAAAGCCCCGGGCUUAACCUGGGAACUGCGUUUGAUACGGAUGGGCUAGAGUUCGGGAGAGGAGAGUGGAAUUCCCCGUGUAGAGGUGAAAUUCGUAGAUAUUGGGAAGAACACCGGUGGCGAAGGCGGCUCUCUGGACCGAUACUGACGCUGAGGCGCGAAAGCGUGGGGAGCAAACAGG